This 253-nucleotide ribosomal RNA is filed under the name uncultured bacterium. Its description in RNAcentral is "partial 16S ribosomal RNA". It matches the Rfam family "Bacterial small subunit ribosomal RNA", at positions 524 to 776 of the family's 1533-position model. The record is from RNAcentral.
UACGGAGGGAGCAAGCGUUACUCGGAAUUAUUGGGCGUAAAGGGCUCGUAGGCGGUUUGUCGCGUCGGGAGUGAAAAUCCAGGGCUUAACUCUGGACUGGCUUUCGAUACGGGCAGACUAGAGGUAUGCAGGGGAGAACGGAAUUCCUGGUGUAGCGGUGAAAUGCGCAGAUAUCAGGAGGAACACCGGUGGCGAAGGCGGUUCUCUGGGCAUUACCUGACGCUGAGGAGCGAAAGUGUGGGGAGCGAACAGG